This 138-nucleotide unclassified non-coding RNA is filed under the name soil metagenome. RNAcentral's name for it is "partial internal transcribed spacer 1". The record is from RNAcentral.
CUGAGUACUACACUCCCUACCCUUUGUGAACUAUUAUACCUGUUGCUUCGGCGGCGCCCGCGAGGGUGCCCGCCGGUCUCAUCAGAAUCUCUGUUUUCGAACCCGACGAUACUUCUGAGUGUUCUUAGCGAACUGUCA